UCCUUGAACCGCCUGGUUUAAGGGUGAAAGAGGGUUUCGGGUGUUAAUUACAGAUGGACCCGCGGCGCAUUAGCUAGUUGGUGAGGUAACGGCUCACCAAGGCGACGAUGCGUAGCCGACCUGAGAGGGUGAUCGGCCACACUGGGACUGAGACACGGCCCAGACUCCUACGGGAGGCAGCAGUAGGGAAUCUUCCGCAAUGGACGAAAGUCUGACGGAGCAACGCCGCGUGAGUGAUGAAGGUUUUCGGAUCGUAAAGCUCUGUUGUUAGGGAAGAACAAGUGCAAGAGUAACUGCUUGCACCUUGACGGUACCUAACCAGAAAGCCACGGCUAACUACGUGCCAGCAGCCGCGGUAAUACGUAGGUGGCAAGCGUUGUCCGGAAUUAUUGGGCGUAAAGGGCUCGCAGGCGGUUUCUUAAGUCUGAUGUGAAAGCCCCCGGCUCAACCGGGGAGGGUCAUUGGAAACUGGGAAACUUGAGUGCAGAAGAGGAGAGUGGAAUUCCACGUGUAGCGGUGAAAUGCGUAGAGAUGUGGAGGAACACCAGUGGCGAAGGCGACUCUCUGGUCUGUAACUGACGCUGAGGAGCGAAAGCGUGGGGAGCGAACAGGAUUAGAUACCCUGGUAGUCCACGCCGUAAACGAUGAGUGCUAAGUGUUAGGGGGUUUCCGCCCCUUAGUGCUGCAGCUAACGCAUUAAGCACUCCGCCUGGGGAGUACGGUCGCAAGACUGAAACUCAAAGGAAUUGACGGGGGCCCGCACAAGCGGUGGAGCAUGUGGUUUUAAUUCGAAGCAACGCGAAGAACCUUACCAGGUCUUGACAUCCUCUGACAACCCUAGAAGAUAGGGCUUUCCCUUUCGGGGACAGAGUGAACAGGUGGUGCCAUGGUUGUC
Molecule: ribosomal RNA, 895 nt
Filed under: Bacillus altitudinis
Lineage: Bacteria; Bacillati; Bacillota; Bacilli; Caryophanales; Bacillaceae
Description: bacterial SSU rRNA
Rfam family: Bacterial small subunit ribosomal RNA
Source: RNAcentral